Molecule: long non-coding RNA, 988 nt
Organism: Stegastes partitus (bicolor damselfish)
Lineage: Eukaryota; Metazoa; Chordata; Actinopteri; Pomacentridae
Exons: 3
Source: RefSeq, a predicted model, not a curated record
UGAUUGGAUGUGGCAAACAGUGUCCAUUCUGUGCAGUGCCUUGCGAUGCAGGAGGAAAAGCCCAUACUGAGCACUUUGCUUCACUGCAUCGGCCAAGGGGUCUGGGUAAAUACAGGUGGAGCUCAACGAAAAAACUUGUCACUGACAUAUGCUCUUCCGCUGUGAUCAGUGACGUAAAGUUUCGCUGCGAUGCUACAAACAAUGAACCGCACCCUUACAAACGUUACAAGGAAAUUUUUCCUGACUGGAAAAUUUGUCCAGAUGUGAGCUUCGAGGCAUCAAACUACUGGAAAUAUGUAAUGGCAACAUACAACGCUGACUUUGCCAAAGCAUAUGGUGCAGAACGUGCUGAUAUUCCUGCCACAUGGAAAACCAUCACAUACAAGCAGGCAGAAGACAGCCUCAAAGAGUCAUUUGGCACCAAGUAAUAGUCCUCCUCAGUAAAGGAGGGGCCCUUUAAUGGUCACAUUACUGUAUACAAGAGAAGAUGAAAGAUAUUGUGAGUUUACACACAUAUUUAACCACUUGCUUACAACAAGGUAAUGUAAGAAAAUGGCUGCAAGUUAAUUCUCAUUUGUACUCAUGUUUGCAUUUAAUGAACUCUACUAAUCUGCUUCAUGACUGUUUUGUGUUACAGUUCAUGUCAUUACAGUCAAGCUGAAGAAUGUAUCAAAGCAGCAGAGAAAACAAACAUUGCUUUUUUGUCUUGAUUACAUUAAAUAUGAUUUGAGAGCAUUUUUUGAUUAAUUGUGUUUGCAAAGUAUUUGAUGUCCAAUUGUUGCACUUGUGUUCCUCAUAGAUCUGGAUGUGGUAACGUUAUAAUAACAUGAUAAUACGUUACAUGUAUUAAUUAAAUCAUUUUGUGCUUGAUUCUGUGACAUAUCUGAUAUCAUGUAUUUACAUUUUGAAUGUAUCAAAAGAUCAUGAGGUUGUUUGUAUGAUCUAAAUACUUGCAUGAAUGUCAUUAUCAUGUUGAUAAGUUUUUCAA